Micropterus salmoides (largemouth bass) is the source of this 3647-nucleotide long non-coding RNA. RefSeq lists it as uncharacterized. The transcript is spliced from 3 exons. Lineage: Eukaryota; Metazoa; Chordata; Actinopteri; Centrarchiformes; Centrarchidae. The record is from RefSeq and is a predicted model, not a curated record.
AUAGAGAGUCUGACCAAACACACAGACAAGCACAUGCUGCAAUUUAGUUUUUGAUCAAGCUCAAGUUAAUAUGUGCUGUUCAGUUACACCAUGCUCCUCGCACCUUCCUGUAACGGGCUCUGGCAUCUUUGAAACGGCGGCUCAAGCUGUUAACUCUGUCAAUGGUGAGCUGCCAGGACUGACCUGACACUGUGUCUGGAGAGAACAUCAUUCAUCUUCUCAAGGUAGGGAGAGCUGUACACCACUACCUCCUCCUCUGGCUGGAUCUCAAUGGACACACUGGACAGCACCCCUUGAAUAUAUCGUGUCCAGUUAAACCCCUGGAAAACAAAAAGUGAGCCUGACAGAGCCAUUACCUUUCACAACCGAUGUGUAGAGGACUACCAGCCCGGCCAAGGCACAGCUGACCAACAGUAGCAACACGGACAGACCGAUUUCUGCAACAGUCCAACGACGCUUUCCAGGUUUACUUGAUUUCUCCAUGAUAUCCAUUUGGCUUUCGGAUUUGCCCAUAUUCCUCCUGACUGCCGGCUCUGUGGGAAAGACACCGUUGGAGUGUGGGAUGGUCCAGGCAGAGAGCUACCAGAGUGUGUGUGUGUGUGUGGGCUGUGCAGUGAUCCAUCGUUAAACUGUGCCAGCUGACCUGCAGUGAGUGAGCCUCAACUGCUGAACACCUACAACAACUUCACUGACAGGAGUUGUGAAACUGUUGGUCUCGUUGCAUGAAAACAGUUUGUCGCUCUACAUGUUAUUCUUUUACUAAAGUAAUGCAAAACAUUUAAGCCUGGGUUUUAUUUCUAUAGCCUUCACAGUACUAGUUUUUGAGCCUGUUGAAUCCACAAAAUUUUACUUAAUAAAGGACGCGAUUAGCCAUUGGUUGGUCGAGACACAAAAAUUUUUAAAUUUUGAUGGUUCACCGGAUGAUUAAAGAGAUAAGAAAUGGAAUAUUAUUUACAUAAUACACAAUCAUUUUCCUUUUUGUGAAUGUACACAAAUUUAAGCCUUUGUCAUGUGAUACUUUUUGCUCUUCAGUUCCCUCAAAGUGUUCUAAAUUAAACAAUCUGCGAAAGGAAAAAACACAAAACACAAAACAACUCAUGUCCACACAAUUUUCAAAGCCUGUGAUGAGGGGUUGCCCGUAGAUAGUGUUAUUUUAACUGGCCACAAGGCAAAAACCAUGGACAUAGGGCACGUUUGUGUUUUGAGGGCUAGAAAUGAACAGCACUUCUGAUCUUUGAGCUAUAUUUACAUUAGUAUGGUAAAUUCUCAUUGAGCAUGUGUUUGGAGGACAAAAACUGUCUUUUCAUAACUGCAAGGAGACCUAUACCGUGGGCCAAUGUCAAUAUAUGCAAUUUACUGUCCAUUAUGUAAAAGGUAAUUUGGUAGAUUUCUUGGUAUAGUGUGUAUUUUAUCACAAUUGAGUUAUCAAAUGUGUUAAAUCACUCUCGUUUUAACAUGAUCAAGCAUUGCUGCAACACUAUGACAUGACAUUUUUCCAUUCUGCAUUUGAAACAAAUCUCACCUAUACUGAAUUCAGAAAACAUUCUCCUAGUUAUACUAAGGUUUAGUUUUCUCCAUAUGGCUGAGACCUAAUGCCACUGACACUUUGUUAAACUAAUUAGUUUACUAUAAUAACGGUGGUUUUCCAGGGCUUAGCACACCUGUGCUAAGUUUGAAUAACCUGACCAUGUUCCAUACAUUUUCUUUAGUGUAUGAGUUCAUUUAGGACAUUAUUUCUCACUUCAUCAUCAAGCUCCAUCUGUUGUUAAUAUAGUCUAGGAUAUUUAAUGUGACAUUUAUUCUGGAAACAAUUUGGGGAAAAAUAAAUAACCACUAAACUCACUUUCACUGACCCUACCCCUCACCACCACACACAGCCAUAAGCCUACUUCCACAGAGCUCAUUUCUAUGCACAAUGAUUAUGUAUGUGUGAACACAAUAUUGCAAAUGAGCAUUUGUGCAGGGGACAAAACUACAAUCACCCAUGGCUUUCAGCAGCAUUGCUUUGCGUCUAUUCACUCUGCAGCACCUGUUUCUCCAUAACCAGCCCCAUUGCCCUAUCAUUAGGCCUGACAGGGGACGGGCUGUAAAUCAGAGGUUCACACUGCUGUGCCCCAUUAGCCCUUCCUGAUGAAUACUCGUGGGCACAUAUCUGGCACUACAGUCAUGAAAAGCAGGCAGGGGCUUGUUAGAGCUUCACUAAAAUCCUCAGCAUCAGACUGCACAGAAACUAUCUGAGGCAAAAUCCUGUUACAGUGCAUUAAAGACAGGCCUCACUUUAUAGAACGCUAUGCAAUAAUGUGCAGUCGACUGUGUCAACAUGAGAUUUGUUGCCCGAUAUGAGGAGUUAUUUGCAUCUUUAAACAUCCUCAAGAUGGCUGUUCUGCAUUUGUUUAAGUUCUCUCAGGUGUGAUGGUCCCACAUUAAGCAGGAGCACAUGGUAACUUUCAUCAGUUUCAUUACUUUUUGGUUUUAGCACAUUAAACAAUGCACAAAUAACUGGACACAGAUUUGGUUUCAUAACAGUUUUAUUAACCAUUUUUGACAGUUAUCUACUUGGAACGCACACAGUUAACUUUGUCAGAUUUGCUAAUAUUUGGGGAUGGGACGUUUGAUACCAAGGCACCGAAGCCUGUAUAUCAAAUUGCCAUUUCCACUUGACUGAUGAUAUCCAAAGCUUCGUAUGUCACCAAAACACCAGAUUUGAUGGUUUGGCAGAUUCUAAACGUGCCCACCUUGAGUUAAUGAAUCCACUGGUUAUCACAAGUAUCGAUUGUAGCUUAGACAGUCUUGAUACGUUUGCGGUUAUGGCAGAUAAUUAGAACUUAAGGAAACAUUUUUAAACAUAACUUACACAUUGUGGCGGGUAGCAACAUGUAGGCUACAUUUUUUCUCAUCACUUUAGUGAGUAAGCAAAGAUCAAGAUGUUCUUAGGCUUUGUGUACAUAUCGUAUUGAAACUGAAAUGAACAAGGCUUUGUAUGCAUUGUUUCUCCGCACUGUUGGGUUCAUGACAAGAUGUCACUGUGCUGUGUCUGUCUUUAUGUUUUGAAACUUUUUUUUCCUGGCACAAUCUGGAAAAAGCCUCCAAAGAUUCACAUGCUUUGUCCAUCCAUCACUACUAAUAUUAGGUUCAUUAACUUUGUUAUUUUUUGUGAAAUUAAAUGUUUUUUGAGUUACCAGUUGCUGCGGGCUGUCGCUGGAGGUAUCUGCUGGCUGAUCAACAAAAGGAGCUCCAGCUCAAUCAGACCUGCUUAAAUGGUGCUGAUCGACAAUUAGUCUGCACCAUGUUUUUCUGCAUCAUGGGGAGGGGCAGUGUUUUCUAGUUUGAGUUUUGUUGUUAUUUCUUUAACAAUUGCACUUUUGAUAUUAUUGUUUCAUAAAUUGUCUUUAGUUAAUAUUAGGUAGUGUUAUCUUGACAUGUUUAUGGUUAUUGUGGCUUGUUUAAAUGUCAUGUCUUAGUCUAUACCCCCUAAGUGUCAGAAUGGCCUGAUCAGCCACUAUAUAUGUCUCAGUUUAGUCUGUUUAGUUCAUGAUGAGUUUAUGUAGCCUGACUAAGUUAUGUUUGGUUGACCGCUUUUAUUAUAUGCUUUGUAAAUUUGUUGUUAAAAUUUUUUUGGUAAAUGGAACUUUUUUUUUUAAACUUUA